This 1121-nucleotide long non-coding RNA is filed under the name Macaca mulatta (Rhesus monkey). RNAcentral describes it as "lncRNA (ENSMMUG00000053437.1)". The record is from RNAcentral. Lineage: Eukaryota; Metazoa; Chordata; Mammalia; Primates; Cercopithecidae.
GCUUAAAUUGGCAAAGAUCAGUAGUCAUUAUGGACUGGUUUUUGUUCAUGACUUAAUUUUGCCAUUCUAAACCUUUGAGCAGGAUUUAAAAUACUUAAUACAGCACUCCCCAGGCUCUGGUGUUUACCUUACUUCAAAAAUCCAUUUUUCAUGAUUUCACUUUUCUUCCACAGAGAGAAGUUAAGUAAGAGGGCUUUGGGUCAAGAUUGUGACUGGAUUCAAAUCCUAAAGUUUUCACUACAUUGUGUGCCCGUAGUGGGUCUUAAAAGUGGAAGGAUCUACCUUGAAAGCCAGAAGCAUGGAUAACUACAACCAUUCUAAAUAAAAUGGAAUUUUCCUUUCUGUGACUCCCUGUGGAUCUUCACAGCUAAAAUAAAGAGACAAAAUAUAUUUCUAGAGCAUCCCACAGUCCAGUGGUUCUUGCAUGGGGUGGGAGCCACCUCCAGGGGGGCAUUUGGAAAGGUAUGAAGACUAUAGUUUUCAUUCUGACUGAAUCCCCUUCUCUUUGUUCCAAACCAUGAUAGGAAGAAUUAUACCAUUCCAAAAUUCAACAGCAUGACCAUUGAGAAAUAGCACCAACCCUUCCCUCAAGAGGGAACCCAGGAAUCUUAAGAUCCUCCAUCAUUUGGGGAUGUGAGUGGGCUUAGGUGUCUGAAUUUGGCUGUAAACAUUCUGUUCCUUAGGUGUAUUGAAUUACACAUGGGGCUGGUAUCUUAGUCUGUUCAGGCUGCUAUAACACAAUAACAUAAACUGGGUAGCUUAUAAACAACGUAAUUUUUCCCCUACAGUUCUGGGAAGACUGGAAAGUCCAAGAUCAAGGCUCCAGCAGAUUAAGCAUCUGGUGAGGGCUCAUUUCCUGGCUCACACACAGUGCCUUCUCACUGUGUCCUCACAUGGUUGAAAAAGAAACGCAACUCUGUGGGGCCCCUUAUAAUCCCAUUCAUGAGGGCUCUGAAGUCAUGAUGUGACCACCCUCAAAGGUCACACCUCCUAAUGCCAUCAUAUUGGUGAUUAGGUUUUCAAUAUACCAUUUUUUUGGGGGGGUGGAAACACAUUCAGCCUGUGGCAGGUAGCUGCAAUGCUUGAGGUAUAAUGGGUUAUAAAAUUACAUUAUUUUUGAG